Molecule: long non-coding RNA, 768 nt
Filed under: Ananas comosus (pineapple)
Lineage: Eukaryota; Viridiplantae; Streptophyta; Magnoliopsida; Poales; Bromeliaceae
Description: long non-coding RNA (ACOM_LNC036968)
Source: RNAcentral
UCCGCAGACAUCAGGCCUGUGCCACGAUAGCUCGAUCUGUACAUGACCCUCGCAUAGAGCACCCGAGUCUGAAAGCAUGUAACCCUCGCAUAAAGCACCCGGGUCUGAAAGCAUAUAACCCUCGCAUCAAGCACCCGGAUCUGAAAGCAUAUAACCCUCGCAUCAAGCACCCGCGCUCACGGGUUGGCACUUCAACCACUCUUCCGGAAAAGAACACCCUCUUGCAGUGGAUCAGACCGCUGGUGUUCGUGAAAUGCGUACAUGCAGUGGCGAUCAAUGCUGAUAUGCUCAAAGGCCAAACGUCGGCAACCAGCCGACAAUUCUGCCCACAGGGCUCAUCGACCGUAUAGGUCAUCAACUGUAAGGAAGCACAAGAACUGACCACUCAGGUCAACUAGGAUGGGACAACAUCAACAUCCUCUCAAACAUAUGCAAAUACUGCUCAAUGAACCAUAAGGACUGACCACUCAGAUCAACUAGGAUAUAUGCACAACGAAUCGACGAAUAGGUCAUCAGGGUGUAUCAAUAGAAUCCAGAACUACCGUCGGCCACUAGCCAACAAUCCAACCCCUCUAGGGUACAUCGACCACAACGGUCAUCGAACGACAGAAGUCAAGGAACCGACCAAAUGUGUCACAAAUACGAGAUACGAGAACCAACCAACCAAGUCACUGGUAUGAAGUACCAGAAUCGACCAACCAAGUCAAUAGAUACGCACAUAGAUAGAACCACUCUACUCCUACUCAGGAUACUAAGCAUGCACACAAC